RNAcentral lists this ribosomal RNA (458 nucleotides) under uncultured bacterium. RNAcentral describes it as "partial 16S ribosomal RNA". It matches the Rfam family "Bacterial small subunit ribosomal RNA", at positions 338 to 795 of the family's 1533-position model. The record is from RNAcentral.
CCUACGGGUGGCAGCAGUGGGGAAUAUUGCACAAUGGGCGCAAGCCUGAUGCAGCGACGCCGCGUGCGGGAUGGCUGCCUUCUGGUUGUAAACCUCUUUUGUUCAAGGGCUAGGCCCGGUCUUUUGCCGUUUUUUGUGUAUUGUUCGAAUAUGCACCGGCUAACUCCGUGCCAGCAGCCGCGGUAAUACGUAGGGUGCACGCGUUAUCCGGAUUUAUUGGGCGUAAAGGGCUCGUAGGCGGGUCGUCGCGUCCGGUGUGAAAGUCCUUCGCUUAACGGUGUAUUCGCGCCGGGUACGGGCGGGCUUGAGUGCGGUUGGGGAGACUGGAAUUCCCGGUGUAACGGUGGAAUGUGUAGAUAUCGGGAAGAACACCAAUGGCGAAGGCAGGUCUCUGGGCCGUGACUGACGCUGAGGAGCGAAAGCGUGGGGAGCGAACAGGAUUAGAUACCCCAGUAGUC